GUAUAAUAAAUACAUCAGGGCUAGAUUGUGCCUCAAGGCAAAUGUUCUGUUGAUUUUACUGGCCUUCCUGUUACGUCUUGUGAUGUUUUGCUGUGCUCAUCCACUCGCCCCAUAAGACAUCCAUGUGAGCAGCUCUGUGGUUUUAUUUUCAUGUUUAAAACAAGUUGCUAUAAUCAGCUUUUCUGUAACUUAAACUGCAGUUGUUAUGAUCAUAUUAAAGUAUUACUUUUCAGGCUCAGCCAUGCUGUAAGUCUAUGAUUAGAGGCUUAAACUUCAGUGUGGAGCAAGUCUAUAAUGAAAGCAAAGUUCUCUUUCAUUUCCUGUGAUUCAACGUACUUGACAAUUGCCCAGUUUUGCUUCCCAUGCUGUUACAUUUGAGACUUGGCCUUUUGAGAACCAGUGGAGCACUGCUACCUUGCCAGCUCAUUGCUCCCGAUUGUGUAAGUGAUGGCAAACCACUCGCCUGGUGCUGGCUUGGAGGCAAAGAUACAUCAAGUGGCUGGCAUAUCUUUCUUCAGUCCAGAAUGAGGUAAUGCCUCCUAUUCACUAGGCAUUGAGGAGGAAAUGAAUCUCCUACAAGCAUAAUUGCAGAUGUAUCUGAUGGUGAGUUUCUGUCUACAUACAUGUAAGACUCGGAAAUGGCAUGUUUUCUUGUCUGAUGCAAGGAACCAUCAUGAAUAUUGUCCUGAGUAUCAAAAUCAAUCAGGUAUUUUACCUUGAGGCUCAGAAGAUUCUGGAGACUAAGGACUUAAGAGAUUCUUCAAAUGGUUUCUCCGGUGUGCUCUGGAGCUGUAGCGUAAGCCCUGAGUAUUGAAAGAUGGUGCUUAAGCCUUGCAUUAUUUCAAUCCAAGCUACAAACCCUAUGAAAAACUAACUCAGGAACAUGUGGAAGAAAGAUCACUGCUACUUUGUCCUAGGUAAGACCUAUGUAUUCUCAAACUAAGAAAUGUGUCACUCUAAGGUUGAAACUGUUUAAAUUAUAAUGUUCUUUAAAGUAUUUCCAAGUGUAUCUAAGACUGCUACAGACAGGUCUUGGUGAAAUGCCAUUGUCCCAACAACAUUAGAAAACGGAGAAGUCUCAAGAAUUUUGUCCCUGCUUUGUGUUAGAAAAAAUGAAGCAUUAGAAAAACUCUGGGAAACCGUAUAAGUUUUACCAUUGAUUUGAAUAAUAAGUCCUUGAAAUAAUCACUUUCAAAGAGAUAAGUACUUAGGCUUUUAAAGAAUUCUUACCCUGAGUAACUGGUUGCUACCAGAUGAAAUGAAACAUCACUUUGCCUCUUCUAACGUACAUCACUAAAAUUUUUGUUCCACUGGAAAUUCACAGCUGAAUUUGGAAUGAAAAAUCUUCAAAUUUUGGACUUUCCCACAGGGCAAGAAUACAGGAUACGGUUAAAUUUCUUUUCCUUUUAAUACUUGGUGUCAGUUAUUGAUUGACUCCAGGUACUCUGUUUAUUUCCUUUAGUACUCUCUUAAUUAUUUUGUGUGAUUUAUGUAUGUGCCAAGCAGGCAGUGGGUACUGGUGAGUAAUCCAAGUUCUGUCCCUGGCUGCGUGCAGGCAGGCUGAAGCCGGUGGCUUUUUAUUUGGACUACCAGAGAGGAGAGCUGGAUGUACACAGCAGUUGGACCUGAGGCUGAGGGACAUGGUUUAGUGGGUGACAUUGGCGGUAGAGCGAUGGUUGCACCAGAUGAUCUUGGAGGUCUUCUCCAACCCCAAUGAU
Molecule: long non-coding RNA, 1718 nt
Filed under: Anas platyrhynchos platyrhynchos (common mallard)
Lineage: Eukaryota; Metazoa; Chordata; Aves; Anseriformes; Anatidae
Description: lncRNA (ENSAPLG00000020218.1)
Source: RNAcentral